RNAcentral lists this ribosomal RNA (841 nucleotides) under uncultured bacterium. RNAcentral describes it as "partial 16S ribosomal RNA". The record is from RNAcentral.
CCCCCUAACACUUAGCACUCAUCGUUUACGGCGUGGACUACCAGGGUAUCUAAUCCUGUUUGAUCCCCACGCUUUCGCACAUCAGCGUCAGUUACAGACCAGAAAGUCGCCUUCGCCACUGGUGUUCCUCCAUAUCUCUGCGCAUUUCACCGCUACACAUGGAAUUCCACUUUCCUCUUCUGCACUCAAGUUUUCCAGUUUCCAAUGACCCUCCACGGUUGAGCCGUGGGCUUUCACAUCAGACUUAAAAAACCGCCUACGCGCGCUUUACGCCCAAUAAUUCCGGAUAACGCUUGCCACCUACGUAUUACCGCGGCUGCUGGCACGUAGUUAGCCGUGGCUUUCUGAUUAGGUACCGUCAAGAUGUGCACAGUUACUUACACAUAUGUUCUUCCCUAAUAACAGAGUUUUACGAUCCGAAGACCUUCAUCACUCACGCGGCGUUGCUCCGUCAGGCUUUCGCCCAUUGCGGAAGAUUCCCUACUGCUGCCUCCCGUAGGAGUCUGGACCGUGUCUCAGUUCCAGUGUGGCCGAUCACCCUCUCAGGUCGGCUAUGCAUCGUUGCCUUGGUAAGCCGUUACCUUACCAACUAGCUAAUGCAGCGCGGAUCCAUCUAUAAGUGACAGCAAGACCGUCUUUCACUUUUGAACCAUGCGGUUCAAAAUAUUAUCCGGUAUUAGCUCCGGUUUCCCGAAGUUAUCCCAGUCUUAUAGGUAGGUUAUCCACGUGUUACUCACCCGUCCGCCGCUAACAUCAGAGAAGCAAGCUUCUCGUCCGUUCGCUCGACUUGCAUGUAUUAGGCACGCCGCCAGCGUUCAUCCUGAGCCAGGAUCAAACCCUG